This is a long non-coding RNA of Oncorhynchus masou masou (cherry salmon), 153 nucleotides long. RefSeq lists it as uncharacterized. The record is from RefSeq and is a predicted model, not a curated record. NCBI's taxonomy places the organism in Eukaryota, Metazoa, Chordata, Actinopteri, Salmoniformes, Salmonidae. The transcript has 3 exons.
CAACAACAAAAAAAUUAAAAGAAUAACACAUGUAGCCAAAUCAGCACCAGAAAACAGAACUUUAGAUCAAGCCUCUGCCGUCUGCAACAGUGCUCUCUGGCUGCCAGCCAAAAUACCCCCAGAAGAAGAUUUAGAUUUAGGCCACAUCAAGAA